GAUUAACGCUGGCGGCGUGCCUAAUGCAUGCAAGUCGAACGUGGUCCCUUCGGGGAUGCGCGUGGCGGACGGGUGAGGAACACGUGGGGAACCUGCCCAUUGGUGGGGGGUAGCCCGCGGAAACGCGGGUAAUUCCGCAUACGCUGGCCGGUCGCUAGGACUGGUCAGGAAAGGGUCUUCGGACUCGCCGAUGGAGGGGCCUGCGCCCGAUUAGCUGGUUGGUGGGGUAACGGCCUACCAAGGCGGUGANCGGUAGCUGGUCUGAGAGGACGGCCAGCCACAGGGGAACUGAGACACGGUCCCCACUCCUACGGGAGGCAGCAGCAAGGAGUUUUCCGCAAUGGGCGCAAGCCUGACGGAGCAACGCCGCGUGGGGGAUGACACCUUUCGGGGCGUAAACCCCUUUUCUUGGGACGAAGCAGUGACGGUACUGAGGAAGAAGGCCCGGCUAACUACGUGCCAGCAGCCGACGGU
Molecule: ribosomal RNA, 474 nt
Filed under: uncultured bacterium
Lineage: Bacteria
Description: bacterial SSU rRNA
Rfam family: Bacterial small subunit ribosomal RNA
Source: RNAcentral